Cercocebus atys (sooty mangabey) is the source of this 2607-nucleotide long non-coding RNA. RefSeq lists it as uncharacterized. The transcript has 4 exons. The record is from RefSeq and is a predicted model, not a curated record. NCBI's taxonomy places the organism in Eukaryota, Metazoa, Chordata, Mammalia, Primates, Cercopithecidae.
AAGAGCCUCCAUUCAGUGGGUGCUGGGGAGGCACUAGAGAGUUUUAGGUAGAGUGGCGACAUGACUAGAUUUGCAUUUUGGAAAAGAAAGUCCAUAGUGGUGGUGGUUUUAUGGAGGAAGGACCAAAAGCUGGUGCCAGCAGAGGCAAGGGCAGGAGCUGGGGAGCAGUGAAGGGGAGAGAAUCCUGGCAAGCAGCGACGUUUAAGGGACAAGAGCAGUUUAGGAGGCAGAAGGAGAACUGAAGACAGUCCAGGGAGAAAGUGGCUUCAAGAAACUGAAAUAAGUUCAGCAAGAUAAAAACUCAACACUAUCCCUGGGAUCUGGAACUUGCUCAUUGGUGAGAGCAAGAGCAGUUCCUGUGGCAUGGACAGAAGUCAGAUUUCUGUGGAUCAAAGAACAAAUGGGAGGUGGAGUUUAAUUGUGUUUCCUCUGAAUACGGGCUGGUUUUAGUGAACCGCUUUUAACAAAUGGAAUGUGACAGAGUGAUGGUGUGUGACUUCUGCGACUUGGUCAUAAAAGGCAUUGUGGCUUCCCUCUUGCUCUCUCGGAUCACUUUGUUUGAGGGAAACCAGCUGCCAUGCUGUAAGGACCCUCAAGCAGCCCUGUGGAGAGGUUCCUCUGGUGAGGAACUGGGGCCUCCUACCAAUAGCCCUGUGAGUGCACCAUCUUGGAAGCAGAUCUUCCAGAACCAGUCAAGCCUCCAAUGGUUAAAGCCCAAGCUGACAUCUUCACAGAAACCUCAUGAAAGACUGUGAGCCAGAACCAUCAGUUAAGUUGCUCCUUCACUCCUGCCGCAUAAAAAUUGUGGGAUGAUAUAUGCUUAUUGUUUUAAGCCACUAAAUGUUGGGGUAAUUGGGAACCCAAGAUAGUUUAUUUACAGCAACAGAUAGGAAGAUAGAGUACAUGAGUACACUGUGGUGGAUGAGUAAAAGUGGAAUGAAGAAUUUGUGGAGAUUCCCCUCAAAUUGCUUCAGCUUUCUCAGUGACACAGGAAGCAAGAUCAAUAGCUGAGAGUUGAGGGUAAAGAUGGAAAAAGAAGUGUUGGAGGAGUGAGGAGAAAGGAAAAGUAAAAUAGUUGUAUUGGGUACAGAUGGGGGACAGAUAGAAUGGACAAGGCAAAUGUAGUAGGAUAGUAGGCCAUAUUAAGGACACAAAGGAAGUAUGUCUGCAGUCGUCAUAUAAAAUGAGACAGUCUGUUGUGUGCUUUGCUUCAGCAAUUUCAACUGCAUUCGUGCAGAAGCAGAGUAGGUGGGGAGUUGGAUUAAACCAGGGAUGUACUUUUGCCAAGUGAGUACUAUGUGACACAAAAUAGGGCAAGGUGUAUGCAAAGGAGUGUUUAUACAAAUCAGUCUAAUUGCCUUCUUAAAAAUCAUUUUGGUGUUCUGCUUCCAGGAAGAUGGAGUAAACAUAUUUUGCCCUUUUCCUCCUGUUAAGAACAACUAAGAUGCCUGGACAUUAUAUAUAAAACAAACACAAAAAGAAUCUGAAAGGUGGAGAGAAGAAAGCAGAUUGUCAAGGGACUUCAGAACCCUAGAAAUGAACUUGUGGGUGGAGAGCCAGGACUUUCAUGAUUAUCCGACGGUAAUGAAGCCAUACCCACUGCAAUGUCGGUGGAGACUACUUGGGGAACCAGAUCCCCAUUGCUACCCAGCAGUAACAAGGAGCACCCUCCCUUGAGAGUGAAUAGUUAAACUGUGGUUCAUCCUACCAUGGAAUAUUACUCAUCAAUAAAAAGGGAUGAACUACUGACAUAUACAGUAAAGUGGACAACGGACUCUCCAGUGAAUUAUGCUUAGUGAAAAAAGUAAAUCGCAAAAGUUAUACUGUACAAUUCAAUUUAUAUAACAUUCUGGAAAUGACAAAAUUAUAAAAGUCUAUUACAGAUGUGUGGUUAACAGAAGUUAAAGAAGGAGGAAGGGAAGAAGGUGACUGGAAAGUGAAAGUGGCUAUCAAAGGACAAGAUGGGGAGUCCUUGUGGUGACGGAAAUGUUCUGUAUCUUGACUCUAUCAGUGAUAAUGUCCUCAUUGUGGCAUCACUAUGGAUUUACAAGAUGCAGCCACUGGGGGGAAAGUGGGUAAAGGGAACACCCACUCUCUCUGUAUUAUUUCUGACAACUGCAUGUGAAUUUACAUUUAUUUGUUAAAAUGAAACAUUUAAUUUAAAAUAUUAUUUGUUUUACUUCCAGUUGCUUUUAAAAUAAAAUGUGGCCCACAGGUGUCCACUGAUCCUAUCUACCUGACACUGCAAUCUCUUACUGUACCACGUUUCUAACUCCAGCCACAUUGUCGCUUUACUUUAAUAACAUUGAGCUCUCUUCUACUCCUGGUUCUUUGCAUUUGCUGUUUCCUCUGCUUGAGAAUGCUCUCUCCCCAGUUCUUUACAUGGUUCCUCAUUCUGAGCCUGCAGGUCUCAACUCAAACACCGCCUGCUCAGAGAAGUCAGCCCUUACUUGCAAAUCACAGGAAGGGAGAGUAGUUAAGCCCUGCAGCCUGCUGCCUGAGGGCUGAAUUGCAAUACCUCCUUUCAAUGGCCUUAAGGUCUAGGGCAUCAGGCUUAACACCAGCUCUGUGUCUGUGUUCCCAUCUCUAAAAUGGGCACCCUGUUAG